UGGGGAAUUUUGGACAAUGGGCGAAGCCUGAUCCAGCAAUGCCGCGUGUGUGAAGAAGGCCUUCGGGUUGUAAAGCACUUUUGUCCGGAAAGAAAUCCUUGGCUCUAAUACAGUCGGGGGAUGACGGUACCGGAAGAAUAAGCACCGGCUAACUACGUGCCAGCAGCCGCGGUAAUACGUAGGGUGCAAGCGUUAAUCGGAAUUACUGGGCGUAAAGCGUGCGCAGGCGGUUUGCUAAGACCGAUGUGAAAUCCCCGGGCUCAACCUGGGAACUGCAUUGGUGACUGGCAGGCUAGAGUAUGGCAGAGGGGGGUAGAAUUCCACGUGUAGCAGUGAAAUGCGUAGAGAUGUGGAGGAAUACCGAUGGCGAAGGCAGCCCCCUGGGCCAAUACUGACGCUCAUGCACGAAAGCGUGGGGAGCAAACAGGAUUAGAUACCCUGGUAGUCCACGCCCUAAACGAUGUCAACUAGUUGUUGGGGAUUCAUUUCCUUAGUAACGUAGCUAACGCGUGAAGUUGACCGCCUGGGGAGUACGGUCGCAAGAUUAAAACUCAAAGGAAUUGACGGGGUC
This 571-nucleotide ribosomal RNA is filed under the name uncultured bacterium. RNAcentral's name for it is "partial 16S ribosomal RNA". It matches the Rfam family "Bacterial small subunit ribosomal RNA", at positions 355 to 920 of the family's 1533-position model. The record is from RNAcentral.